RNAcentral lists this long non-coding RNA (220 nucleotides) under Phoenix dactylifera (date palm). RNAcentral's name for it is "long non-coding RNA (PDAC_LNC014445)". Lineage: Eukaryota; Viridiplantae; Streptophyta; Magnoliopsida; Arecales; Arecaceae. The record is from RNAcentral.
AUUCUGAGUCCCACCUAGACAUGGAUUCCAAAAUCGAAGCUCUAUUAAAAGCUAUCCAAGACACUAAUGCCCAAGUCCAAAACACUAAUGCCCAAGUCCAAAACACUAAUGCUCAAGUCCAAAAUACCAAUGCCCAAGUCCAAGCAAACAAUGCCCAAAUUCAUGACCUAACCACAAUGUCCACCCAGGUUAAUGCCCGACUCGAUUUAAUUGAGGCUUC